AAGAAAAAAAGAAAAAAAAAAGUCAUAUAGCCAAAUGACAGUGUCCUAAAUGGAAUGGGGAUUUUUGUACAAUACAACAAAACCCAGUGGUCUGGAAGUGACAUGUAUGAUUUUUUUUUUUUUUUAAUGCCGACUCCAAUUCCCAACCCCCAGGCGCAGAGUAAGAAAAUGAGCUGGAACUGUCUCCUGAAGCCUGUCAAUGUGAGAUGCCUUGCUCUCCCUUUGCCUUCUGCCAUGAUUGUAACCUUCCUGAGGCCUUACCAGAAGCGCAUGCCGGUGCUAUGCUUCCUGUACAGCCUGCAGAACGGCUCAUAGGCAGAAGGGACUUGACUUGUCUCAGAUGAGACACUGGACUGUGGACUUGAGUUAAUGUGGAAAUGAAUUAAGACUUUGAGGAACUGUUGCGAAGGUGCAGGAAGUUAGCCAGAUGAUCAAGACACCUCCAGCCUUUCUAUAGAGGAAGCAGGGAACAGGAAAAGAAGACAUUCUAAUCCAACGAACGUAUGUCCAUGAGCAAACUCUCGUUCAUGCCAGGUAAUGAGGUUUAUCUGAACCUCAAAUCCAGACCAGGUGAUAAAAUUUGUUUGAACUUUAAAUCCAGACCAUUUCUUUUCAUUAGGAGAUUUAGUAUUAGUCAAUUGUCACUAGAAUCAGAGCUCCAGGGACCAGAUUUGUGUCUUCACUGUUGUAUCCCAACACUCAUCACAGUUCUGAGAUGUAGCAGUGGCAGCAGCAAGCAGGCAGCAUUUAUUGAAUAAACAUCACCAUCUGUAAACCUCUUUGUAAUGACAGUAUGCUUUUUGAGGCUUUCUAAAGCCUUUGUUGGUGAGAAGGACCCAAGAAAAAAGGGAUGCUCCGAGAACACAACAAAUCUCUCUGGAGCCUUUUCCUGUGAUGGUGGCAGUGGGAGACAGAUGACAUGGGAGUGAGUUCUUUGUGAAAGUUUUGUUUGGAGGCCCCUGGAGUUAAAAUGGAACUAAACUUUCAUCACUGCAUGUGAUGGAGUGUUACGUUUGUUUAAUGAGCCCUUGCAUUUUCUCUCAUUUUCCCAUUGUCUUCAGCUAUAGGUCUGAGGAGGGAGAUUGUGCGGAAACAGAGAUUUCGGAGAGGGAAGGCUCAUGGCAUGAAUGAGACGUGCCUGAAAACGCUGCCUGGCAUGUCUUCACAGCAUCACACAGGUGGAAAGAGGGGAGAGGAAGAGACAAGGGUGGGGUAAAGGCUAUGGGAGGAGGUUAGCUAUUUGCUACUGCAUGUUUUUAUAUCUGCUGAAAACGUACAAUUACACAGCAUGCUGAUUUAAAUUUGCUUUAGCACCAGAGAUAAAAUUCUCAGAAGAAAGAUUAUCAACUUGCCUGUUUAUUAAAAAUCAAGCAAGCUGUGGCUGGAAAUGUUUAAACUAAAACUUAGACUCUUUGAGGGAAACCAAGCUGAACUAUCAUUGCUCAAGGGACUGUGUGCAUUUUCUCAUUAUUGCUGGUGUACUUUGUCAGCGUGAGUGACACCCUUCUCUCCUCUGGCCUUCUGCUCCACUGGCUCGUGGCUAUUAUCCAUUCUCAAGGUGAAGCUAUUAAUAAGAGUGUUGUCAUUUGGAAGCCUGAGAGUGUGAGAAUCUUUCCCUUUAGCUCCUGAUUCUGAAUAAUGUUCACAAGCAAUCCAAGCCCAUGCUUUCACCUAUGAUGUCAAUAUAGUUCUCAUGCUUUUAUUUGUUUCACCUUACUGGGCCUCUGUUUUCUCAUCUAUUAAAUGGAGAAACUAGAUAGUUCUGUUUCCUUCUAGUCCUAAUGUCCCACAGCAUCUAUGAUGGGACUAUCUUGGGAAGAGAACAAAAAGAGAUCAUUAAUGGGGUGCCUCAUUUUAAGUAUAAAAAGUAUGUGCCCAGAAAACUGUAUUUUGAACCUGCCAAAAAUGGUUUCUGAAAGAAAUUUUUGGUGACUUGUUUUGGAAAGUUCUUUUCUCCAAUCUCACCUAAUUUGAUUUGCUUUGAUAGCUUGACUUAAAAUAACCACUUAUCUGUGGUUUUCUGUCUAUAAAAUGUAUACUUGUUUUGCCAUGUGCUUGUUAAAUGAUAAAAGCAUCAAUAAAAUUCUUUAUCUCCAUGGUGCUGUGUGGAAAUCAUCUGAAGAGAGUUAAAUAUACCAUACCUGCCUCUGGGAAUUUGUCUGGUGUAGCAGUUGCAUGUAUAGAUAAAGGGAAAAAAACAAGUUCUUAAAUUAUAUUAUUUAAAUUGAGUUAUAAGAAACAGCAAAUGGGUGAUUCUGCGUGAAUUUUUUAUGUAGUGGAAGGGAAAAGGUGCCAUCUCCUAUAGUAAAUCAAAGAGCACAGCAUGAAGGACAUCAGAAUUUAUGAACCACAAGGGGAAAGAGUGAAGCCUCAUCAAUUUGUAAAGAAGGAAGCUUGGGCAUCUGAUGACAUCUGGAAGACUUGA
This is a long non-coding RNA of Pan troglodytes (chimpanzee), 2425 nucleotides long. RefSeq lists it as uncharacterized. The record is from RefSeq and is a predicted model, not a curated record. The transcript has 4 exons. Lineage: Eukaryota; Metazoa; Chordata; Mammalia; Primates; Hominidae.